AACUAUAAGACGAGAAGACCCCAUGGAGCUUUAAACCUAGCCACACCCAGAAUCUUUAUACCUAACUAUUAUCUGAACCCUGUAAGCUAGGCUUUAGGUUGGGGUGACCGCGGAGUAAAACAAAACCUCCGCAAUGAACGAAACUACCGUCUUAUCUAAGAAUAACCCCUCUAAGAAUUAGCACUCUAACAUAAAUGAUCCAAUUAUUG
Molecule: ribosomal RNA, 209 nt
Filed under: Gephyromantis luteus
Lineage: Eukaryota; Metazoa; Chordata; Amphibia; Anura; Mantellidae
Description: partial 16S ribosomal RNA
Source: RNAcentral